AGAACGAACGCUGGCGGCGGGGUUUAGGCAUGCAAGUCGAGCGAGAAAAGCGCAAGCUGAGUACAGCGGCGUAAGGGUGAGUAAUGGGUAGUCAACGUACCGGGCAGACGCGAAUAAUUUCCCGAAAGGGAUUGUAAUGCGCGAUGAGAUCACGGGCUCUACGGGGCUUGGGAUCAAAGGUCGGGGAUCCUUCGGGACCUGGCGCUGUCUGAGCGGACUACCUCUGAUUAGCUAGUUGGCGGGUAACGGCCCACCAAGGCGAUGAUCAGUAGCCGGCCUGAGAGGGUGUCCGGCCACACUGGGACUGAGACACUGCCCAGACUCCUACGGGAGGCUGCAGUCGCGAAUCAUUCACAAUGGACGCAAGUCUGAUGAUGCCACGCCGCGUGCGGGAUGAAGGCCCUCUGGGUUGUAAACCGCUGUCAAGGAGGGAACCGCGGAACGUGAAUAGCGUUCCGUCGUGACUGCUUUCUAAAGGACGCCCCGG
RNAcentral lists this ribosomal RNA (487 nucleotides) under uncultured bacterium. RNAcentral's name for it is "SSU rRNA". It matches the Rfam family "Bacterial small subunit ribosomal RNA", at positions 26 to 496 of the family's 1533-position model. The record is from RNAcentral.